GCAGUCGCCGCGGUAAUACGGAGGGGGCUAGCGUUGUUCGGAAUUACUGGGCGUAAAGCGCACGUAGGCGGCUUGGUAAGUUAGAGGUGAAAGCCUGGAGCUCAACUCCAGAAUUGCCUUUAAGACUGCCGAGCUAGCAGGUGAGAGAGGUAAGUGGAAUUCCGAGUGUAGAGGUGAAAUUCGUAGAUAUUCGGAAGAACACCAGUGGCGAAGGCGGCUUACUGGCUCAUACUGGACGCUGAGGUGCGAAAGCGUGGGGAGCAAACAGGAUUAGAUACCCGUGUAGUCCCUGUCUCUUAUAC
This 302-nucleotide ribosomal RNA is filed under the name uncultured bacterium. Its description in RNAcentral is "partial 16S ribosomal RNA". It matches the Rfam family "Bacterial small subunit ribosomal RNA", at positions 508 to 807 of the family's 1533-position model. The record is from RNAcentral.